CAGCCGCCGCGGUAAUACGAAGGGUGCAAGCGUUAAUCGGAAUUACUGGGCGUAAAGCGUGCGUAGGCGGUUUGUUAAGUCUGCUGUGAAAUCCCCGGGCUCAACCUGGGAAUGGCAGUGGAUACUGGCAAGCUAGAGUGUGUCAGAGGAUGGUGGAAUUCCCGGUGUAGCGGUGAAAUGCGUAGAGAUCGGGAGGAACAUCAGUGGCGAAGGCGGCCAUCUGGGACAACACUGACGCUGAGGCACGAAAGCGUGGGGAGCAAAUGGGAUUAGAUACCCCAGUAGUCCCUGUCUCUUAUAC
Molecule: ribosomal RNA, 301 nt
Filed under: uncultured bacterium
Lineage: Bacteria
Description: partial 16S ribosomal RNA
Rfam family: Bacterial small subunit ribosomal RNA
Source: RNAcentral